RNAcentral lists this unclassified non-coding RNA (377 nucleotides) under plant metagenome. RNAcentral's name for it is "partial contains 5.8S ribosomal RNA, internal transcribed spacer 2, and large subunit ribosomal RNA". The stretch from base 1 to 104 matches the Rfam family "5.8S ribosomal RNA", at positions 51 to 154 of the family's 154-position model. The record is from RNAcentral.
AAAUGCGAUAAGUAAUGUGAAUUGCAGAAUUCAGUGAAUCAUCGAAUCUUUGAACGCACCUUGCGCUCCUUGGUAUUCCUUGGAGCAUGCCUGUUUGAGUAUCAUGAAAUCUUCAAAGUAAAUCUUUUGUUAACUCAAUUGGUUUCUACUUUGGUAUUGGAGGUCUUUGCAGCUUCACACCUGCUCCUCUUUGUUCAUUAGCUGGAUCUCAGUGUUAUGCUUGGUUCCACUCGGCGUGAUAAGUUAUCUAUCGCUGAGGACACUGUAAAAGGUGGCCAAGGUAAAUGCAGAUGAACCGCUUCUAAUAGUCCAUUGACUUGGACAAUACUUUUAUGAUCUGAUCUCAAAUCAGGUAGGACUACGCGCUGAACUUAAGC